AUUGAACGCUGGCGGCAGGCCUAACACAUGCAAGUCGAGCGGAUGAAGGGAGCUUUCUCCUGGAUUCAGCGGCGGACGGGUGAGUAAUGCCUAGGAAUCUGCCUGGUAGUGGGGGAUAGCGUCCGGAAACGGGCACUAAUACCGCAUACGUCCUGAUGGAGAAAGUGGGGGAUCUUCGGACCUCACGCUAUCAGAUGAGCCUUGGUCGGAUUAGCUAGUUGGUGGGGUAAAGGCCUACCAAGGCGACGAUCCGUAACUGGUCUGAGAGGAUGAUCAGUCACACUGGAACUGAGACACGGUCCAGACUCCUACGGGAGGCAGCAGUGGGGAAUAAUGGACAAUGGGCGAAAGCCUGAUCCAGCCAUGCCGCGUGUGUGAAGAAGGUCUUCGGAUUGUAAAGCACUUUAAGUUGGGAGGAAGGGAAGUAAGUUAAUACCUUGCUGUUUUGACGUUACCAACAGAAUAAGCACCGGCUAACUUCGUG
Molecule: ribosomal RNA, 484 nt
Filed under: uncultured bacterium
Lineage: Bacteria
Description: partial 16S ribosomal RNA
Rfam family: Bacterial small subunit ribosomal RNA
Source: RNAcentral